RNAcentral lists this small RNA (1382 nucleotides) under Pan troglodytes (chimpanzee). RNAcentral describes it as "retained intron". Lineage: Eukaryota; Metazoa; Chordata; Mammalia; Primates; Hominidae. The record is from RNAcentral.
AUAAUUGCAAAAGCUGACACCAUUGCCAAGAAUGAACUGCACAAAUUCAAGAGUAAGAUCAUGAGUGAACUGGUCAGCAAUGGGGUCCAGAUAUAUCAGUUUCCCACUGAUGAAGAAACGGUGGCAGAGAUUAACGCAACAAUGAGUGUCCAUCUCCCAUUUGCAGUGGUUGGCAGCACCGAAGAGGUGAAGAUUGGCAACAAGAUGGCAAAGGCCAGGCAGUACCCCUGGGGUGUGGUGCAGGUUGAGAAUGAAAAUCAUUGCGAUUUUGUGAAACUUCGAGAGAUGCUGAUCCGGGUGAACAUGGAGGACUUGCGAGAGCAGACUCACACCCGCCACUAUGAAUUGUACCGACGCUGUAAGCUUGAAGAGAUGGGGUUCAAGGACACUGACCCUGACAGCAAACCCUUCAGGUAUGAAGGCAUCUAGCAAUCAGGUGUCUCCCAGACAGUGGCGAGAGUGGCAUGGUGGUACAUCACAGAAAUGCUUGCUGGAUUGAGAUGGUGAUGAUGGAAGGAUCUGGUGGGUGAAGAUUAAUACAUAUGUUGUCAGGCAUUGCGAUAAUUGCUUUAUUUGCAUUAUCUCAACUAACUUACCUAGUUGAUGUCAUUAUUAUCCACAUUUUACAGAUGAGGAAACAAAGGCACUGAAAGUGUAAACAAACUGCCCAAGGUCCUCCAAGUAGUAAACAAUGGUGUGGUGUUGAGCUCUUGCCAUCUGGGUCCUGAGCCCAGGUUUCUGCCAGUUCUCUUGCAGAGGUACAGAGCCUGGUCGAUAUAUUUACAAAGGUGCGGCUGCUGAUUACAGUUUGCCCCAUUCAUUUUUGCCAAACACCUUUAACUUCCGGAGGCUCUUCCUUUGUCAAGCACUUUUACUAUUAGCUUUCAGUGGUUCGGUAAAAUUCUAACAACAAAGAAUCAGGAGGAAAGGAGAAUAGCUUUUAGGAGAUCUAUGUAUUUUCUUAUAUCACUGACGGGUGGAGACGCAAAAUGUGAAGGGGAGAAAUGGAUGUAGAAUUAAUAUCCUAGCCGAAGCCCAGACCCCGUCAGAAUCCAGUGGUAGGGAUAGGGUUGGCAAGGCUGGGGUGCUGUUGCCCACACCGUAGUGAGUCAUGGGGUGGUUCUGGGUAAAGGUGUGGGGUGAGGCUGCCAGGCCAGGUUCACCACCUCCUGGUCGAGGAGAGGAUUGUCCAGAUGGUGCCCAAGCAGUUUUCUUUCUUUUUUUUUGUUUGAGACGGAGCCUUGCUCUGUCACCAGGCUGGAGUGCCUUGGCCUCCCAAAGUGCUGGGAUUACAGGCGUGAGCCACCGCGCCUGGCCCCCAAGCUGUUUCUUAAUGGGGAUUUGAAUUCAGGUGGUGUGAGGUGUGUCUGGGCUCUGUGCCU